UCCGUAGGCGGGCAGCUCAGUCAGUGGUGAAAGUUUGCAGCUCAACUGUAAAAUUCCCAUUGAUACUGGUUGUCUUGAAUUAAUGUGAAGUGGUUAGAAUAUGUAGUGUAGCGGUGAAAUGCAUAGAUAUUACAUGGGAUACCAAUUGCGAAGGCAGAUCACUAACAUUAUAUUGACGCUGAUGGACGAAAGCGUGGGGAGCGAACAGGAUUAGAUACCCUGGUAGUCC
Molecule: ribosomal RNA, 229 nt
Filed under: uncultured bacterium
Lineage: Bacteria
Description: partial 16S ribosomal RNA
Rfam family: Bacterial small subunit ribosomal RNA
Source: RNAcentral